AAAUUGAAGAGUUUGAUCAUGGCUCAGAUUGAACGCUGGCGGCAGGCCUAACACAUGCAAGUCGAGCGGUAGCACAGAGAGCUUGCUCUCGGGUGACGAGCGGCGGACGGGUGAGUAAUGUCUGGGAAACUGCCUGAUGGAGGGGGAUAACUACUGGAAACGGUAGCUAAUACCGCAUAACGUCGCAAGACCAAAGUGGGGGACCUUCGGGCCUCAUGCCAUCAGAUGUGCCCAGAUGGGAUUAGCUAGUAGGUGGGGUAAUGGCUCACCUAGGCGACGAUCCCUAGCUGGUCUGAGAGGAUGACCAGCCACACUGGAACUGAGACACGGUCCAGACUCCUACGGGAGGCAGCAGUGGGGAAUAUUGCACAAUGGGCGCAAGCCUGAUGCAGCCAUGCCGCGUGUAUGAAGAAGGCCUUCGGGUUGUAAAGUACUUUCAGCGAGGAGGAAGGCGUUAAGGUUAAUAACCUUGGCGAUUGACGUUACUCGCAGAAGAAGCACCGGCUAACUCCGUGCCAGCAGCCGCGGUAAUACGGAGGGUGCAAGCGUUA
Molecule: ribosomal RNA, 551 nt
Filed under: Klebsiella aerogenes
Lineage: Bacteria; Pseudomonadati; Pseudomonadota; Gammaproteobacteria; Enterobacterales; Enterobacteriaceae
Description: bacterial SSU rRNA
Rfam family: Bacterial small subunit ribosomal RNA
Source: RNAcentral